AGGCAGGGAGGCCAUGAGGAGUGCGGUGCAGAGAGGCUGCCUCUCAGGAUUCAGCUUCUGGAGGAGCCGUUCCUGUUCUGUUCUGCUCUCCAUUGCCCCGUCCCACUGACUCUUGACACCUUCUCCAUGUGCCUCUGUCUGCUACCUGGCUAGCUGUCUGGCUCACGAACUCCCCGUGCAGUUAGGAAAUGUGUGCACUGAAAAACCUGCAACCCUGUGCACAACAGCGCUGGCCUCGUCUCCCCGAAUGCAGGCAGGGCUUAUGAUGCAGCUCUCUGCAGGCACUCUCUAGCACGUUGGUAGGCACACAGGAAGCUGUAUUUAUAUAUGUGUGUUGAAUACAUAAAUUUUAACGUGGAAUUCCGGAAGUGGAAGAAGUCUCAUGCUCCUUUCUCCUGACACCUGUGGAAAGCUCUACACUGUCCCUGGCUGCAUCUCUUUGAAUGCUCCCAGGGAUGAGGUGCUCACUCACAAAAUAGCAAUGUCCCUCCUGGGAAAUGUUGACGGUGAAAACAUUAUUUAUGUAUGGCAGCUGCAUUGUGGCUCCCUCUCACGUUUGCCGCAUGGUCUUCGUCAUGGACAGAACUUUGGGGAUCUCUCUUCCAGGGCUUCUCAAAAGGGAGGAAGAUGCCUGCUGGGUAGAGGUGCUACCGGAUCACCCUAACAACCCUCUGGGACCUGUGGCCAUGUGUUCACAACAGCAGCCAUUACAGGUGUUUCCUGAACUCUUGUCGCGAGCCUCUGUCGGCUCCAUCUCAUCGAUCCUCCCAGCAACCCACAAGGAAGCUUCACAGAGAGGCAGAUGCCACACAGGCCACCCACCCAGAUGCAGAGCCAGAUUCCCUGCGUGGACUGGACGGGAGUUUCCCAGCUGGAGUUCUCUCGGCCAAGCUGCCUGUGACAUGGGGUUGGAGGUGCUCCAGAGAGUCAUGGCCACCCCUGGAGGAAGUGACUUGUGGCUGACUGCUCAAGGGGAAGUCCUGUGGCAGUGGAGUCGUCAGCAUUAAUUCAAAUAAGGCUCACUCCAGAGAGGAAAAAGAAGACCAGAACUGAACCAAGCUUGCCCAGUCAUGCAUCCUAAAAUAUCAACUGGAAGGCACUCUCUGUCCCUUGGUGGGCAGUAGGAAAGGCUACCGAAAGGAAGCAUCUAGAGAGGGAAGAAGCAUUUCUCCUUCUAGGAGAACUGACCAACCUUGUAAAGUCUGCAUGCUGACCCUGAUCUCCUGCUCAGAUACAUUCAAGCCCUCCAUUUUUGUGUCCCCAGUCUUAUUCUCCCAAAGAGAAUAGUCUCCCAAGCUCCAUUUUUGUCUAGAUUAGCCAAAGGUCAAUACCAUUUGUCUUGUGCUUUUCCUUCUUUGUCUACAUUUAAAUUGGAGUCAUUGAAAGUUUACAGAGACUUCAAGUUCAAGUUCAAGUUCAACCACCAUAACAAUCACUGCAGUAGCAAUUCUCAAUACCAAGCUCCCAAGCUCCCACUGUGGGCCAAAGCAGGGCACUAGAUGCUUUAGAAAUGCACUCUUGUUUAAUUCUCAAGUGUAGAAAACCUAGCCUGCCUGACUUAAGCAGUAGGGAAUUUAUUGGGUCAUGUAAUUAAACAGUUUUUUAGACCCAGCUCCCUCUAUCCAGGCUCAAAGAAGGUUAUCAUAAUUGGUAUCUAUCUUUCCACUGCUCUCCAUACUUGGUCCAUGGACCCAUUUUUAUGUCCCAUGUA
Molecule: long non-coding RNA, 1711 nt
Organism: Homo sapiens (human)
Lineage: Eukaryota; Metazoa; Chordata; Mammalia; Primates; Hominidae
Product: long intergenic non-protein coding RNA 1814
Source: Ensembl